Molecule: long non-coding RNA, 8850 nt
Organism: Thunnus maccoyii (southern bluefin tuna)
Lineage: Eukaryota; Metazoa; Chordata; Actinopteri; Scombriformes; Scombridae
Exons: 2
Source: RefSeq, a predicted model, not a curated record
ACAGUUUACACGCAUGCCUGAUUCAAAGCAAUUAAGAACACUGAUGACCUCUGCAGAUAUUACUGAUCACAAGAGAAGCCCAGUCCCUGAAGCUGAAAGCUGCGCUGCUUGGUCUGUAUGACUGACGAUUCAUCAACUGACAGCGAUCCUGAGAGAUUAAGACGCCACGCUGAGUGAGCAGAGCUGAAGCAACACACCAGGAAUGUACAGUGCAAAAUCAAUGGAACAGUUAAGCUUCCUAUAUAUCAGACACAGACAACAGAAAUCAAGACAGGCGGGGGAAAUCCUGGUUAUAUUUUGGUCUUUUGUUAUCCGCAUUGACUCAGCAAAGUGUGUGUGUAUGUGUGUGUGUGUGUUUGCAUGAGAAAGUCUGACAGAGGAAGAGACGAGGGAUUAUGUGUGGAUUACGUGCAGUGUGUGUGAGGAAGUUGUUUGGAGAAUUUGUGGGUAUGUUCUUGUGGUAGUGAAAGCGCAGGAUGGGUGUGUGAGUGAGACUGCAGGUUUAGGAUCUGGGAUUGUGUGUGUGUGCGUGUGUGUGUGUGUGUGUGUGUCCCUGGCAGCUGUUUGCCCUGCCCAGAGUGGUCUUGGCAGUGUUUCUUUACUGUAACUGCUCCCACAUGUUGGCACAGCCUGGCACAGCAAGGGCACACUUCUCAGGUGCCAGGGGUGUGUGUGGUGUGAGUGUGUGUGUGUGUGUGUGUGUAUGUUUGAGAGAGAGAGAAAGAGAAUGAGAGAGCGAGAGAGACUGUUUCCACAUCUGUUUGUGAGUUUAUGAGUGGGAGUUUGUGAGUGUAUCUGGGUAGGUAAAGGUCUGUACAAAGAGUGUGUGUGUGUGUGUGCGUGUGUAUGCACGUGUGUGUGUGUGUGUGUAUUCCAAGGGGUUGAGCGGGCCUCUUCCACACAGUGGUGUCAAGUCAAUGAACUGAUUUACCAAUCAUUUAAUCAACAUUUUACUUUAUUUCAGACAAUGUGACAAAGAUACAAAGACAAAGUGUGUGUUUGUGUGUGUGUGUGUGUGUGUGUGUGUGUGUGUGUGUGUGACCUGACCACAGACAAAUUACUCUCCUCUCUGGAGGGAGUUGCAGAAAAAAAAAAAAAAACAUUGCAAGUGGAAAGCAAAGGAAAAAAGAAGUUUACCACUAACUUUGUCACCAGCCUGAGUGAUUUCUGUCUGUACAUCUAUGUAGCUAUGUGUGUGUGUGUGUCAGAAUGUGUGUUUGCAAACACGUAUAUGUGCAUAGCAGUACAGCCUCGUCUGUGCUAUUCAUGUCACGUUUCUGUUGGCUCAAAGAAAACGUUUCAUCUAUAAUUGUCCCUUCAUCUUCCACGGAGGUGUGUGUUAGAGUGUGUGUGUGUUUUUUUGCACAAUGUGUCUUUUAGUUCUAUAAGUUUGCGUGUCCGUUCAAGUACGCAUGCAUGAGUGUUGCCUACACAUCAGAGGCCUCAGUCAUGGGCUUCGUCUCUCAGCGUGUGUGUGUGUGUGUGUGUGUCGGCGUUUGCGUGCUGAUGGCUCUUCACUCUUUCAUCUCAUCAAGCGUUCAUCACUCCGUCCUUCAUCAAUCACACCAUCCGGCAGAUCACUCAUCAACUGAGCGUCCUGCUUUUAAACGAUAAGAUCUCUCCGUCCACAGACUCUCUCUGUCUGUAACACACACACACAUGCACGCGCACACACACGCACUGUGACGUGGAAUGUGAUCAUAGUGACUUUCGAAGGUAUUCUUGCUAACACAGUGGGAGGCCUCCUGCGUAGCACCUACACAUUAUUCCCCCUCCUCAUAACACACACACACACCCUCCAGCUCACUGUUGGUCGCCGGUGCACACACACACACACACACAAAUGUGUACACACACACAGACACACAGUUUCCAUGGUGACGGAUAGGCAGCCAUGCAGAAUGAGUGCAUAGUCCCUUGGGACAUCUCCUUUGUCCAUCUUUCCAUCGUUCUCUUUUAGUGAUGACAAGAUGUCUCCUCUCUGUCUCUCUCUCCCUUCGGCCUCUGUUCAUUAUGCAUAAUGCAUGUGUUUCAGUUCAUAAGCUAAAUUUCAUCUGGCCCAUCCAGUGGGUUGCAGCACAUGCAGUCUUUGUUCCCAAACUCUUUCCUCCAGAUUUGCCCAAUGUAUUGCCAUAAACUCUGUUUCAACAAUUGCAACUGAGACUUUAAUCCCAACUGAGCUGGCUAGUCCUGUAACCUCGCCGGUGUUGCAAUAAGUGCAGCUUGAAUCCGUUUGAGUGACAGCUCCUCAUUAUGACAGAGUAAGUAUGGUAUGGAUGGAAGGAGGGAGGGAGAGAACAGAUUGGUUGCUCUGUCAGAUUGUGAAAAGAGGCCUCGUCACACUCUGGUUGUGAUUUAUUCUAAAGACGAUACCCUCAUUUCCCGUGAGUCACUGCUGCUCGGCAUGUUGGGGCUUUGCUGGGCAGAAGAAUCGUCGUCAGAACGACACCAACCUGGACAACAGCCACAAGCAUCAAUGUUCCUUUCUGGAAGAGUUUGUUAGAAAAUCAUGCCUGUAGCCUCUACAGUAUAUGUACAACUCACAGACGUGGACAUUUGAUAAAGAGGAUCUGGGGCAGCAUGAUGUGUAACCUCCACCAGAGGCUUCUUUGUGGCCGCAUAUCACAUGACCUCCAUACUAAGAAUGGAAGUCAUUUGACCUUAACCAACUUUCUUAUGAAAGAGAAGAAACCAGUGGUGUCUUUCUUUACUUUUUGAAAGUUUUAAGUUAUUAAACAGCCCAUGGUUGAGUGUCCCAAAUGACUUAGCACCUCUAAUUUUUUUCUCUUUCAGAUGAUUUCUGGCCCAACAGUAGAAUUUGAAUCGUCCUGGAUCAGGGUCCCCCAUGAAUAUAUUGUGAAAUCUGAAUACAAGACUCAAAGACGGUGCCAAAUCAUUCCAGUCAAGGCCACACUGCAAAUGUUAAAAGCUUAACGUUUGUUAGUGCUUGCUGGCUUGCUGGCUGUGAAAUGAAUGUUGAGUUUGGAUGGAUUAUUUUAGCACUGUGGUCUGGCAUUUACAUUGAUUAUCUCGACGCAGGUGUUAAUUUCAAACAGUGUGAUGACGUUUGGAGGGCUGACACAUCUUACUGCCUGGCCUGAGGGAAGCCUGCUUCAUUUGGGUCAGACACCAUCUUGCUGUAACUCGUUGUUUCAUGGUGCCCAACGGGGAUCAACUUUGCCGACAGGGUUCAAAAGGCUGUAAAUGCUUAUUACGAAUGUGGUGAUGAAGUUGGUAGAACAUGAUCUCUAGGCCAAUGUUUUGAUAUUUUCAACAUCUAAUUCUUGGUUUCAUGACUGUUUUGACUGACAUCUCUUAAUAAGUUUUGGGUAUGAACUUUUUUUCCCAGACAAUCUAUCAUGAGUCAUUGUUUAAGUGAAAAAGGCCUUGAAUCAGUUGGUUUUCAUGCAUUUUUUAAAUGGAGGCUGGAAAAUUUAAGUGUUACUUUCAGAAGUGUAAAGUGCUGUGAUUUUUGCCAUUUUAAAGCUACUGUAUGUAAGUUUUUUUCUUUUUAGUUUAUUUUUUUUGUUGUUGUGGAGAGGUGUUGUCAAGGACCUCUGUGACUGAAGCUCACUGCACAACACAGCAGCAGUACAGAGAUAUUCCCUACUCAAGUUUUAAAAUGAGUCUCACCCUUCAAACGAAUCAGAGAUGGCCAAAGUCAGGGGUGCAAGCUCAUGGCUGUUAAUUAAUAUCUAAAUGCUCUUCUGGCCUACUACUCCUCUAGUACUGAGGCUCAAAGCUAGCAUUAGCUGCUGGAAGUUGUCUCUAUGACUUACUCAGAGGCAAGCAAGCUCCUGAUAACUGCAUUAGUCAAAUCACAAGGAUGCAGGUCAUCUCAUGCUAGCGCAACCUUAAUUUCCAGAACUUGCAUAUUGUAGCUUUAAAGUCUAAAUAUUGGGGGGGGUUUCUGGACCUGUUCUUUGCUAAAAACUGCCUGGAUCAAGUGUUGCAAUUUGUAUGGACUCUAAGCUGAUCUACAUCGCUGUUAACAGACAAAUAACCUCAGAAAAAGAGACAGUAAAUGAUACAGUGCAAAAAACUUAUCAGUGCAGUUAUUUCAGUGAUCAUGUAAAAGGAGCAACAUUGUUAUACGUGCAAAUGAAUCAGUGAUGCUGUGAGGAUAAAUUAUUCCCUGCUUCUUUUAUUCUGAGACAUCUGAAGGCAGUGAAGCACCACAUGCAUCCUACACAUUUGUGUUAGCUGACUUGAAUCACACCAGGGUGAUUCUAUAACUCUGAGACAUUUCAUAUCCGUGAGAUAUAUCUCACAUAUAUUUUUAACACCCAAGCAAGUUUGAAAAAAAUGGUACCAUUAUGUAUUGUAUCAGCAGGAUAAAGAUAUCCAGCUGUUCCCUGAUUAGAAACAAUAAGUCAUGAAAUCUUUUCAUCAUAUUCAUUUUGUAAACAUCAGAUAACCAUACAGACAUCUGUUGAUACUGAUUCUUAUUUCUUAUCAUUCAUUCAAUCAUUCGUUACACUUGUCUCAGUUGCUCAUACCUGAACUUGCAGUACACAAUUUAAAGAUUGCAAACUUAAUUAUAAAUCAGCUAAUUGAGCAAAGUUUAAAAUAAAAAAAAAAACUCAGCAUCAUCACUUCCCUACAUUGAAAGCUUGGUAUGUUCUCCGUCUUUUAUCUUAAUAGUGUUUGAGUCUAGAAUAGAUUUUUUGAAGGUCAGCAGUGUUCAUUCAAUUGCUUUUUGGCUGAUGCCGUAUGGUAUUUGAUUGUAUGACUCUAUAUGAGGGACCAGCCCAAAAUCACAAAGAUCAAAUCAGUUCCUAUCAACACGUAUAGCUUGAGGUUGACAAGCAGUAUUUACAGUAUGUCGCAUAAAACUUUGCUUUUUCUGCUCAUUUAGAAAAGCUACAUAUCCUGCAUCUUUAAAAUCUACUACCGGUAACUCAACUGGUUUCCAUCAAGAUCCCCAUUCUGUUUUUGUUGCUCAACCACCCCCUCAAAAAAUGCAACAGUACAAAAUGUUGUAACACCCAUUCAAGAUUGUCAUGUUGAGAUUGGAAUCGGAACGAGGACAGUGAGAGGUAGAGUGCAGUGAAACGGAAAGUUUGUGCAAUGUUGGCUGUAACACGGCGAGAUGAAGUCAGCCCUCCAACGUGGUUCACUGGACUGGACUGGAUUUGUGGAGUAGAACCAGGAGAUAAUGUGAAUGUGACAUAGAAGGUGAAAGGAGAAGAGGAGCAGAGUUAGUCACAAGUAGGUGUAUAGCUGUUGACCUAUCCAAAGCGGAGUCGCGGAGAUCUGAUAGUUGGAUAUGACUAACAUUCCCAUGAGGGAGGAAGGAAGCAUUUGAUAAAGAAGCAGUGCAUGAAACUCAUCUGGGAAUUUUAUCAUGAACACAGGUGCUGUCUGCUUUUGCGCAACAAUAGUUGUGAACAGAUUACAGUACUUCCUGAACUAAUGGUCUUGAGCUCAUUGUUGCACAAAAAAGAUCCAGCAGGAGCCGGUUGAGGCCAUGUGGUCACUAGCCUGAGGUUCGCCCUCCCCACAGGGAAAUGUUGAAAAUCUGAUUACAGAUGGGAGAUGUUUGGAUGUAAUCAGGGGAAAUGUUAAGAAAAUAUCAUCAGGUUUUAGUCUGCGCUGCCCUACCACCCAGUGACUGUUCACCCACACCACAGGAUCCCUAAUAAAUAAGAGUAAAACUCGACACUUCACUUUUAUUGUGCGCGAGUGUGUGUGUAUUUGUGUGUGUGUGCGCGUGUGUGUGACCUCCCCCCGUCCUUUGGCACGUGGAACAUUUUGCUCUGCUGUUUUUACAAGCCGGGCGUUAAGCUGUCCAUCAAAUGCCAGGAAAAUACCCCGGAUCCCUUUCCCCCUAUCACACACACAUGCACAGAUACACACACAUCGAUUCCCCAGAAACCACAGUCGCAGUAGCGGUAGCCGCUCCUCUGCCAAGCUCUUAAACACGCUGAAACCAACCUCUCCGCUCUUUACGGCCUCUCUCGUACAUGAGCCUUCUCUUUUUACAUCUCUCCCUCUCUCAUCCGUCCUUCCUUUCACCUAUCAUUCAUCGCUCUCUAUAUCGCUCCCUAAAUAUCCUUUCUGCUUAGAUACAGGCCACGUUAUAAGACCGGCACUCUGCUGACUAGAUGGACCGUGAUACAGCCAGCCUCGUCUGGCCUCACCACCUUAGAUUGGCUUGUUGGGAGAUAUGCUUGUAAAUGUAAAAUACAGCUUGACAUGGUGCUCGGCUCUCUAUUACUUCUGCUUUUUACAACCAAAAAAGUGGGUGCAAAGGUUGUGUGUGUAUUUGACUGUGUGUGUUUCUGUUUAUUACAAGUAAGCCAAUAUAUCAAACUGAAAUUAUCUUUAUUUAAUAUUAAAUAUUAUACAUCAUGAAGCCUGUUUUGCUGUAAAUUAAUCCUCAUGUGAGGGCUGUAUUGCAUCCCAGAUUAACUGCUACAAAGCCAUUUUGGUUAUGGUGUUGUAAAGAAGUUUCAUCUGUCUGGGUGUUUAGUUUCUGUGUCCCAUGAUGACCAACAGUAAAUAGUUUUAGAGGUUUUUCCACCCUGAAAACAAUUAAUCUGGGGAAACACUGAAUAUUCCGUUUUUUUAUAUUUAAGAUUGUGCAUUUUUGCCUUUAAUUGAUCGUGUAUAGUCAAGAGAAUGACAGGAAAUGUUACUUGAACCAGUUUACAUGGUACAUGUCUACCUAGACCACCGUGGACCGAGAAUACUCAUACUUUUUUUUUUUACCAAUUUUUAUGAUAGACUGUGUACCAGAAUGGUUCUUGAGGAAUUUAUGCAUGUCAUUGUUCUAUUUUGGCAUUUUAAUAUGUAGGACAUUCACAAUAUGUAGGAUGCUGCUAAUUUGAUUUAGACAAAACCUUAGGAAGGAAUGCAUGUCAUUUCUAAUUUUUUAGAGCUAUCACUGUUUCAAAAAAUCAAGUUGGAAUGAAUUAGAACUAACACACAAUUUAUUUGGAUUAAUUCAAACGCAACCCAAGUUGUAGAAUUUACAUUGAACAGUUUAUUAGCAGCGCCUCCGCUGCUUCACUCGAGUGACAAGAUAACCUAAAAUCAGCUAACAGCCUUACUUUUAUCUGUGAUUUUCUGGGGAUCUGGGUUUACAGUGGUACAUCCAAACUGUUUCCACACAUUACUUUUCAGUGUCAUUAUUAUCCGUUUAGCACAGCUUGCCAGUUUUCUUCAUUUUGCGUUAGCCAUUUUGGGUUAGUAAAGAAACCAUAGUUUAGUUCAUAGAGCAACAGGCCUUAUUGUGAAUUUUGAAUUCAAACAGGUCAAUCCUGAGCAAAUACUUUAUUUCUUUUUCACUUUUCGAAUAGAAAGUGACAGCCUGGCUCAAUUCAGACAUUCUCCAAAAAAUCACGUUUGUAGCCCUGAGAGUCGCAAUCAAGAAACAUAAAAGUGUGUUUUUCUCUUACACUACAACUUUGCAUCUGUCAGUGAAUGACAAUUUAAUAGCUAAUUUCUUAAUCAGGGAAACUGUAUGCUUUACAGAUGCUGUAUAUAUUGGCCAUCAGCAGUUUCACAACAAAAAUCAGUAUUGGUCUUAGCCAUCCAAAACUCUGUUAAAACCCUGAUAUAUCUAUGCAUCUGUGAGCAUGGGAGAGAGCAUACCUAGGGAGAAAGCACUACAGAGAACCAUUUGACAAAUAAAGGGUUGGAGACAAAGGGGAAAGCUAAAAAGAGGAAAAGCAUCACAGGGGCCAUGAUAGAGAGAAAAACAUCAAUACUGUGCACAUUUAGAGGAAAUGAGUGAAGAAGAGAGAGAAAGACAGAGCCAUGGGAGAGAGGCGGGGAGCUCCACUGAGAGAGAGAAGGAGGCUUGAGAAUCAAGAGGGGAAGUCUAAAUGAGAUUAUCUGAAAGAAGUCGAAGACAAUGAAAGUAGGAUUCAGGGAAAUAGACAAAGGGAAGAGUGGAAGGCUUUCUACAAAAUGAGCAGGAGAAAAAAAUCCAGCCUCAUCAGUGAGGUGUAUUCUGCUCAAAGAGAUCUUCAGUUUUGCUUUCAGGAUGGACAUGAAGACUCCAUUAAUGUGUGAACAUAAUUGACAUCAUCAUCUCACCUGUGUGUGCACAGAAGGUAUCCAAGGUGAGAGGCUGAAAGACAUAUACAGAGAAAGGAAAGAAAGGCUGAUAUUCUACAUUUUUCUUAUUGUCAGCAGAUCAACAAUGCGUUAGUCCAACUCCCAAUACUUUCCAACUUCACUAUGCUGGUGCUGUGCUUUUCAUAGCUUUUGGACAACUAUGGAGUUUCAUAACACAGAUGAGCAAGCUGUAUCAGGAUCCACAGGCAAUACUUGUUAUCAAUUCUUUGUUGGUUAUGGCCUUCUGUAGGAUUUGUUGACAAUAAGAAAAAUAUAAAUAUCACCAGCCAUGUCCUCUAAACACCAGCAUGUGUAAGCUCAUGAGGAGCAAAGGCAGAGUUGACUGUAUAUACUGUGACUUCCAACAUGAGCACUUUGGGACCCACAGAACAAUCCUAUAUAAGGAUUUUAAUCCCUGGGUGACUGAGGAUCGUAGGAAUGUAACGCACAGGUCUCAGGUCAGAGCUUACAAGUCUACCUCAUUACUGGAUCAGGGCCAGUUUUAUUGCAAAAGGUCUCAGGUCAUGUCGAUUCAUCCCAUCAGGGCCAAGCAGCAGCUACCACGGCUUGAGGCAGAAGUGCAAUACCACCAACAGACGCCAGAUGCUGGUUCCAGAAAAUCCCUGGCUCCAACUGACUCCUAUUCAAAAAGCAUCAAUUUCUCAAAGUCAGGGGUGUCCAAACUUUUUUUUAAAGAGGAUCUGAUAAUGUGAAGAUUCCCAGGGGCCAGUGGUCCCUUCUGACAUUCUUUAAACAGUAAAAGUUACAUACAAGUGCACUGUU